This is an RNA transcript of Pongo pygmaeus (Bornean orangutan), 912 nucleotides long. It is a transcript of the gene named methyl-CpG binding domain protein 3 like 1, with no coding region annotated. Lineage: Eukaryota; Metazoa; Chordata; Mammalia; Primates; Hominidae. The transcript has 3 exons. The record is from RefSeq and is a predicted model, not a curated record.
AGAAGUUUGGGGUGGCCUGAGGAGUUAGCUGGAGAGAUGGGGGUCUCCUUACGUUGCCCUGACUGGUCUCAAACUCCUGCAUUCAAGUGGCCCUCCCACCUCAAUCUACCAAAGUGCUGGGAUUAGAUGUGUGAGCCACCACGCCUGGCAGGAAAUCUCUUUAAAAUACAAUUAAAGGAAAUUUGGAAACAUUCCAUGCUUAUCAGGGAUAUUUGCAGAUUUGGCAACUAACGUCUUAGGGAACCAUCAGUGUAAGAGGAAAAGAAGUGUGAUGGCCAAGAGUUCACAGAGGAAGCAACGUGACUGUGUAAACCAAUGCAAAUCAAAGCCUGGCUUGAGCACCUCAAUCCCUCUGAGAAUGUCCAGUUACACAUUCAAGAGGCCAGUUACGAGAAUUACACCCCAUCCUGGCAAUGAGGUCAGAUACCAUCAAUGGGAGGAGAGCUUGGAGAAGCCUCAGCAGGUCUGCUGGCAGAGGAGACUGCAAGGACUCCAGGCUUACAGCAGUGCAGGAGAACUUUUAAGUACUUUGGAUCUUGCCAAUACCUUGCAAAAACUUGUCCCUAGUUACACAGGUGGAUCUCUGCUGGGGGAUCUUGCCAGUGGUCUGGAGCAAGCCUGCCCCAUGCCCCACCUUGCCUGCUCUUCAGAUGCGAUGGAGAUAAUUCCUGGAGAGGGAGCGGGUAUCUCGCAGCUCCUCUGCCAACAAUUUCUGGUCACUGAGGAAGAUAUCAGGAAACAGGAAAGGAAAGUGAAGACAGUCAGACAGAGACUCGCAAUAGCACUGAUUGCAGACGGGCUCGCUAAUGAGGCAGAGAAAGUGAGAGAUCAAGAAGGCUGUCCUGAAAAACACUAUGAAAAAAAGGGAAGAUAGUGCAGAUGAAAUAAAGCGUAAUCCUUUAUUAACAUCUC